This 786-nucleotide ribosomal RNA is filed under the name uncultured bacterium. RNAcentral describes it as "bacterial SSU rRNA". It matches the Rfam family "Bacterial small subunit ribosomal RNA", at positions 51 to 850 of the family's 1533-position model. The record is from RNAcentral.
ACACAUGCAAGUCGAACGAGCGAGAGAGAGCUUGCUUUCUCGAGCGAGUGGCGAACGGGUGAGUAACGCGUGAGGAACCUGCCUCAAAGAGGGGGACAACAGUUGGAAACGACUGCUAAUACCGCAUAAGCCCACGGGUCGGCAUCGACCAGAGGGAAAAGGAGCAAUCCGCUUUGAGAUGGCCUCGCGUCCGAUUAGCUAGUUGGUGAGGUAACGGCCCACCAAGGCAACGAUCGGUAGCCGGACUGAGAGGUUGAACGGCCACAUUGGGACUGAGACACGGCCCAGACUCCUACGGGAGGCAGCAGUGGGGAAUAUUGCACAAUGGGGGAAACCCUGAUGCAGCGACGCCGCGUGGAGGAAGAAGGUCUUCGGAUUGUAAACUCCUGUUGUUGAGGAAGAUAAUGACGGUACUCAACAAGGAAGUGACGGCUAACUACGUGCCAGCAGCCGCGGUAAAACGUAGGUCACAAGCGUUGUCCGGAAUUACUGGGUGUAAAGGGAGCGCAGGCGGGAAGACAAGUUGGAAGUGAAAUCCAUGGGCUCAACCCAUGAACUGCUUUCAAAACUGUUUUUCUUGAGUAGUGCAGAGGUAGGCGGAAUUCCCGGUGUAGCGGUGGAAUGCGUAGAUAUCGGGAGGAACACCAGUGGCGAAGGCGGCCUACUGGGCACCAACUGACGCUGAGGCUCGAAAGUGUGGGUAGCAAACAGGAUUAGAUACCCUGGUAGUCCACACCGUAAACGAUGAUUACUAGGUGUUGGAGGAUUGACCCCUUCAGUGCCGCA